This 352-nucleotide unclassified non-coding RNA is filed under the name Oceanobacillus picturae. RNAcentral's name for it is "cspA". Lineage: Bacteria; Bacillati; Bacillota; Bacilli; Caryophanales; Bacillaceae. The record is from RNAcentral.
UUCGGUCUCGAUCUGAGAGGAAAGUAUCGCAAGACACGCUUCACCUUUUAUCUAAAUUGAGCAUUAAUAGUAAUAAAUUGUGGGAAUACCACGCAGGAGGAAACAAACAUGCAACAAGGUACAGUAAAAUGGUUUAACGCAGAUAAAGGCUUUGGCUUCAUCGAAGUUGAAGGUGGAGAUGAUGUAUUCGUACAUUUCUCAGCUAUCCAAGGAGAAGGCUUCAAAACUUUAGACGAAGGUCAAUCAGUUUCUUUUGAAAUUGAAGAAGGUCAACGCGGACCUCAAGCGACUAACGUUACUAAAAACUAAUAAUUACUAUUUAAAAGGACUCUUUAAUUAGAGUCCUAUUUUA